CCAGACUCCUACGGGAGGCAGCAGUGGGGAAUAUUGCACAAUGGGGGAAACCCUGAUGCAGCGACGCCGCGUGAAGGAAGAAGUAUUUCGGUAUGUAAACUUCUAUCAGCAGGGAAGAAAAUGACGGUACCUGACUAAGAAGCCCCGGCUAACUACGUGCCAGCAGCCGCGGUAAUACGUAGGGGGCAAGCGUUAUCCGGAUUUACUGGGUGUAAAGGGGGCGCAGACGGCGAUGCAAGCCAGGAGUGAAAGCCCGGGGCCCAACCCCGGGACUGCUCUUGGAACUGCGUGGCUGGAGUGCAGGAGGGGCAGGCGGAAUUCCUGGUGUAGCGGUGAAAUGCGUAGAUAUCAGGAGGAACAUCAGUGGCGAAGGCGGCCGCCUGGCACAAAACUGACGCUGAGGUGCGAAAGCGUGGGUAGCAAACAGGAUUAGAUCCC
Molecule: ribosomal RNA, 438 nt
Filed under: uncultured bacterium
Lineage: Bacteria
Description: bacterial SSU rRNA
Rfam family: Bacterial small subunit ribosomal RNA
Source: RNAcentral